This 359-nucleotide long non-coding RNA is filed under the name Gossypium raimondii (Peruvian cotton). RNAcentral's name for it is "long non-coding RNA (GRAI_LNC001879)". The record is from RNAcentral. Lineage: Eukaryota; Viridiplantae; Streptophyta; Magnoliopsida; Malvales; Malvaceae.
AGAGGCAUGGGAGGCGUGCAAAGGGACAGUGGCGGCCGACAGAGGGCCCUAGGUGCGGCGCACCUAGGGUUUGAAAAAAAUUGUUUUUCUGAUUUGUGUUUUCUGGGCUGGGUUUUGGUGGGUUAGGCUUGUAAUUGAGUUGAGGGUUUGGGUUUGAUUUUAGGAUAGUGGGCCUGGUUUGGUUUGAUGAGGCCCGGGCUAAAUUUGGGCUGUACAAAGAUAACAUAAUUUUUUGUCCCUGGUAAUUAAGUUAAUUUUAGUGUUUUUUUUUUUUUUACUUUAGCACUUAAAUUUAGUAAUUAGAUCUAAAUUUGGAUUCCGUCAAGAUUCGUUGAUGUAACCAAUGUUCUUGGAACAUG